GACGAACGCUGGCGGCGUGCUUAACACAUGCAAGUCGAACGGAAAGGCCCUGCUUGCCGGGUACUCGAGUGGCGAACGGGUGAGUAACACGUGGGUGAUCUGCCCUGCACUUCGGGAUAAGCCUGGGAAACUGGGUCUAAUACCGGAUAGGAGCCAUUUUUAGUGUGAUGGUUGGAAAGUUUUUUCGGUGUAGGAUGAGCUCGCGGCCUAUCAGCUUGUUGGUGGGGUAAUGGCCUACCAAGGCGGCGACGGGUAGCCGGCCUGAGAGGGUGGACGGCCACAUUGGGGCUGAGAUACGGCCCAGACUCCUACGGGAGGCAGCAGUGGGGAAUAUUGCACAAUGGGCGCAAGCCUGAUGCAGCGACGCCGCGGGGGGGAUGACGGCCUUCGGGUUGGAAACUCCUUUCGCUAGGGACGAAGCUUUUUGUGACGGUACCUAGAUAAGAAGCACCGGCUAACUACGUG
RNAcentral lists this ribosomal RNA (465 nucleotides) under uncultured bacterium. RNAcentral's name for it is "partial 16S ribosomal RNA". It matches the Rfam family "Bacterial small subunit ribosomal RNA", at positions 28 to 507 of the family's 1533-position model. The record is from RNAcentral.